This 460-nucleotide ribosomal RNA is filed under the name uncultured bacterium. Its description in RNAcentral is "partial 16S ribosomal RNA". It matches the Rfam family "Bacterial small subunit ribosomal RNA", at positions 338 to 795 of the family's 1533-position model. The record is from RNAcentral.
CCUACGGGUGGCAGCAGUGAGGAAUAUUGGUCAAUGGGCGCUAGCCUGAACCAGCCAAGUAGCGUGAAGGAUGACAGCCCUAUGGGUUGUAAACUUCUUUUAUAUGGGAAUAAAGUGCAGUAUGUAUGCUGCUUUGCAUGUACCUUAUGAAUAAGGAUCGGCUAACUCCGUGCCAGCAGCCGCGGUAAUACGGAGGAUCCGAGCGUUAUCCGGAUUUAUUGGGUUUAAAGGGAGCGUAGGCGGGUUGUUAAGUCAGUUGUGAAAUUUUGCGGCUCAACCGUAAAAUUGCAGUUGAUACUGGCAGACUUGAGUACAGGAGAGGUAGGUGGAAUUCGUGGUGUAGCGGUGAAAUGCUUAGAUAUCACGAAGAACUCCGAUCGCGAAGGCAUUGUGCCGGAGUGUAACUGACGCUGAGGCUCGAAAGUGUGGGUAUCAAACAGGAUUAGAUACCCGUGUAGUC